CAUACUCCUGUAAAAAUCGAUACAAGAAAACAGAUAAAGGCAAACAAAAAACAUAAAUUUCAAGCGCACCUUGCCGCAUACCUAGGUAUCUCCUCUUUGGGUUUUUGUGGUCAUCGCCUUCUC
Molecule: small RNA, 123 nt
Filed under: uncultured eukaryote
Lineage: Eukaryota
Description: partial transfer-messenger RNA
Source: RNAcentral